RNAcentral lists this long non-coding RNA (202 nucleotides) under Lathyrus oleraceus (garden pea). Its description in RNAcentral is "Pisum sativum (pea) long non-coding RNA (PSAT_LNC004429)". The record is from RNAcentral. Lineage: Eukaryota; Viridiplantae; Streptophyta; Magnoliopsida; Fabales; Fabaceae.
UUUGGAAUUUUAAUUGACUCUUUAGUAUUCCUAGGGGUUAUUAAUGUUGUUGGUUUAAUAAUAAUUUCAAAUUCCCAACCUCUAAAAUCCAACAGCCAGGCGGCUGGAUUUUUUGGGGGUAACCUAACAGUCUUUUAUUUAUUUAUUAUUAUUGUUAUUAUUUUGGUUUUAUUUCCUUUAAAUUUCUUUGUUCCAAUCCUUU